Sinocyclocheilus grahami is the source of this 118-nucleotide long non-coding RNA. RefSeq lists it as uncharacterized. The transcript has 2 exons. The record is from RefSeq and is a predicted model, not a curated record. Lineage: Eukaryota; Metazoa; Chordata; Actinopteri; Cypriniformes; Cyprinidae.
UUCACAAAAUGAAGCAGCUGUCUGGUGGUUGGCUUUGCUAUAAAGCUGCAGGUAGGUGUGGCCAAAGAAAACUGACUGUGGUGCCACCUGAGUCAGAGGGCUACACAGCAAAGUCUUU